This 972-nucleotide ribosomal RNA is filed under the name uncultured bacterium. RNAcentral's name for it is "bacterial SSU rRNA". It matches the Rfam family "Bacterial small subunit ribosomal RNA", at positions 414 to 1395 of the family's 1533-position model. The record is from RNAcentral.
GCCUUCGGGUUUAACCUCUUUUAGUAGGGAAGAAAGCGAAAGUGACGGACCUGCAGAAAAAAGCCCCGGCUAAUUAAGUGCCAGCAGCCGCGGUUAAUACGUAGGGUGCAAGCGUUGUCCGGAAUUAUUUGGCGUAAAGAGCUCGUAGGCGUUUUGUUGCGUUCUGCUGUGAAAUCCCGAGGCUCAACCUCGGGCUUGCAGUGGGUACGGGCAGACUAGAGUGCGGUAGGGGAGAUUGGAAAUUCCUGGUGUAGCGGUGGAAUGCGCAGAUAUCAGGAGGAACACCGAUGGCGAAGGCAGAUCUCUGGGCCGUAACUGACGCUGAGGAGCGAAAGCGUGGGGAGCGAACAGGAUUAGAUACCCUGGUAGUCCACGCCGUAAACGUUGGGCGCUAGAUGUAGGGACCUUUCCACGGUUUCUGUGUCGUAGCUAACGCAUUAAGCGCCCCGCCUGGGGAGUACGGCCGCAAGGCUAAAACUCAAAGGAAUUGACGGGGGCCCGCACAAGCGGCGGAGCAUGCGGAUUAAUUCGAUGCAACGCGAAGAACCUUACCAAGGCUUGACAUACACCGGAAACGGCCAGAGAUGGUUGCCCCCUUGUGGUCGGUGUACAGGUGGUGCAUGGUUGUCGUCAGCUCGUGUCGUGAGAUGUUGAGUUAAGUCCCGCAACGAGCGCAACCCUCGUUCUAUGUUGCCAGCGCGUUAUGGCGGGGACUCAUAGGAGACUGCCGGGGUCAACUCGGAGGAAGGUGGGGAUGACGUCAAAUCAUCAUGCCCCUUAUGUCUUGGGCUUCACGCAUGCUACAAUGGCCGGUACAAAGGGCUGCGAUACCGUAAGGUGGAGCGAAUCCCAAAAAGCCGGUCUCAGUUCGGAUUGAGGUCUGCAACUCGACCUCAUGAAGUCGGAGUCGCUAGUAAUCGCAGAUCAGCAACGCUGCGGUGAAUACGUUCCCGGGCCUUGUACACACCGCCC